Molecule: ribosomal RNA, 305 nt
Filed under: uncultured bacterium
Lineage: Bacteria
Description: partial 16S ribosomal RNA
Rfam family: Bacterial small subunit ribosomal RNA
Source: RNAcentral
ACAGCAGUAGCCGCGGUAAUACGAAGGGGGCUAGCGUUGUUCGGAAUUACUGGGCGUAAAGCGCACGUAGGCGGAUACUUAAGUCAGGGGUGAAAUCCCGGGGCUCAACCCCGGAACUGCCUUUGAUACUGGGUAUCUCGAGUCCGGAAGAGGUGAGUGGAAUUCCGAGUGUAGAGGUGAAAUUCGUAGAUAUUCGGAGGAACACCAGUGGCGAAGGCGGCUCACUGGUCCGGUACUGACGCUGAGGUGCGAAAGCGUGGGGAGCAAACAGGAUUAGAUACCCCCGUAGUCCCUGUCUCUUAUAC